Molecule: transfer RNA, 60 nt
Filed under: Cavia porcellus (domestic guinea pig)
Lineage: Eukaryota; Metazoa; Chordata; Mammalia; Rodentia; Caviidae
Rfam family: tRNA
About the family: Transfer RNA (tRNA) molecules are approximately 80 nucleotides in length. Their secondary structure includes four short double-helical elements and three loops (D, anti-codon, and T loops).
Source: Rfam by way of RNAcentral
AUAGCUUAGCAGGAAAGCACCUGCCUGGCAAGCAGGAGGUCAUGAGUUUGAUACCUGAUU